UUCACAAAUGAUAUCGAAUAUGUUCCUUACGUCGUAACUACAAUCCCCUUCCCUUUCAUGAAUUUAACCUACCGAAUUAGACUAUUUACCGGAUUUGUAAUCACAUAAGCAACACGACGGGUGCCGCAUGUGGAGCAGGAUCUGCUUACCCUUCCGGAGCACCUGAGAUCACCCCUAGUUUUUGAAGGGGUUCGUGUUGUUUAUUCUUUAGUUUUCUAUGUUGUGUCAUGUGUACUAUUG
This 240-nucleotide long non-coding RNA is filed under the name Mytilus galloprovincialis (Mediterranean mussel). The record is from RNAcentral. Lineage: Eukaryota; Metazoa; Mollusca; Bivalvia; Mytilida; Mytilidae.